GGACGUUCCUGGAAAGCAUUGAUGAUAACUUUCUGACACAGGUGAUGGGGGAGUCAACAAGGAGAGGUGUACUGCUGGGCCUACUACUAACAAACAAGAAAGGGCUGAUUAGAGAUGUGAAG
Tinamus guttatus (white-throated tinamou) is the source of this 122-nucleotide non-coding RNA. The record is from RefSeq and is a predicted model, not a curated record. Lineage: Eukaryota; Metazoa; Chordata; Aves; Tinamiformes; Tinamidae.